Drosophila sechellia is the source of this 1203-nucleotide long non-coding RNA. RefSeq lists it as uncharacterized. The record is from RefSeq and is a predicted model, not a curated record. The transcript is spliced from 2 exons. NCBI's taxonomy places the organism in Eukaryota, Metazoa, Arthropoda, Insecta, Diptera, Drosophilidae.
AAGCGGCACUCGAACCGUCGAUGGCGACUGAGACUCUUGCGGGUCUUGUACGACUUGCCGCACUGAUCGCAGGCGUGCUGAUACCAGAUCGUUGCGCUGCGGCAGGCAGUUGACUUUUCCAGGACAAGAUACGGAUACGGUUCGGUCGGCUUCAUAGAUAGUAGUAUGUGAUAGUAGGUAGUAGAUAUUGGAGUAGUAGUGGUAGAUGGAGUAGUGGGGUAGUACAACAGUUUGGUUUGUAGAGACAUCUAAAAGAAAUUUAGUAAUAAAAAUAGGUUAGUGAAAAAUUCGCACAAUUUUCGGAUGAAACAAAAAAAAAAGACAACACUGAACGAGGGCGGGAUGGAAACCGAAAAACAUACACGAAAACGAAAACAUCGAUGGAUCAUGUGGGGUAUGAACAAAGGAUGAGGUGGUGACACGAUGGCAAAUAGGGAAUGAGAAAGGCUAUAAAAAUAAAACUUUCGAUUGCUGCAAUUGAAUACAUAAAUAUGGUAUAUUUUGUGUAUUUGGUGUUUUCGUAAUUUAUUCAAUUAAAAUAUAAUUCUCAUUUUCUGUUUCGUUUUGACUUUGGAUAAAUUAGGCUCUAAAAUUAGGUAUACAUGCUAGAAAUGUAUAGUAUAGUAAUAACUUAACUAGGUCGUACAUUUUGGUGGCAUAUCAUUUGGAAUAAGUGGGUUACAUUUAUAAAUCAACCUCCAUGGCUUCCUCCAUUUUGCAAGAGAAAAGUUUGGUGGCUAGUUGAGUAUUUUGCGUUUUUUGGAUUAAAUCAAAUUGAAAUUACUCAACUUGUAGUAAAAGAUUUGAUAUUCUCUCUUGACUUUUUUGGUUUCAUCUUAAAUGACUAACAAAUAGUUUAGAGGCUGGACUCUUUUUGGGUAAAGUAAUCCCAUCCCUGUCAUGCUGAAAAGCGUCUUAUAUGUUUAGAAAUUCGUGACGUUUCGAGUAAUUUAUCGUUCGUCUUAGGAAAGAUCCGUCGUUGGAUGAUUCAACACUGUAAUAUUGACAAAUUUUAAGACACAUUUUGUCUACGGGCGACUCACAAAAAUACAUAAUUAAAAUUAUCUUCAAAAUGGAAUGUCUACGUUUGAGAUUCUCGUACAGGGCAAAUACAUAGUGUAAAAAAGGGGUGCUUGGGGGGCGAAAACGUAUGAAUAGAGUAUGCAAAUACGCAGAGCCUUGGCUCUUGACAAAUUAAAAAAA